ACACACACACACACACACACACACACACACACACACACACACACACACACACACACACACACACACACAGUCUACAGAGGUGUGUUGACAUCUGGAUCAAUAACCCUGAUCGCCCUUUUUUCCACGUUUGUUGUCAAUAAUCUUGCGACAUCCCAAGAAACCUAUUUUUAAACCGUCGAUUCAGGCUCAUGAUGUAACCAUGACAACGCUGAACCCAAGCGAAGAGACACGGCCUCGACACCGACAUCGAUUUCCUCUCGUCUGGAUUCUUCAGCGACUCCGAGUCAGCUGAUGAGAACAUUUGUCUGGUUUCUUCUGCUUCCGGCUGCUCGGAGAUGUUUUGUGUAAUUAAUGGGAGCAGCCGCAGGUCAGCUGACCUCCACCUGAUCUGCUUAGAGCUCCGAGGUCAGAUUAUCGUCCUGCUCAUCCUCAUUAGUCACAUUGUUGUGAGGAAGUCGAUCCAACGAGGGAAACAAAUCUCUGGAGACGUUUUCAGACAUGAACUCGAGUCUGGAUAUGUUCCUGGAAUGAUCCAGAGGAGCUGAAUGUGAGAACACAAAUGUCAGAUACUCCAGAUGUUCCCAGAACUUUUCCUGCAGCCCCCUGGAAACAUGUCGGAAUUCUAAGUUAGAACAUUUUCCAGAAUCAUGCAGCUCCGAUCUGACACCAGGGAAACAGGUCCCAGGAACCAUCUGAACCUGAAGAAUCUGAGGUGACUGUACUUCUCUCACACUGAACUCGUACCUUGCUCCAGUCGCAGCGACAGCGACCGUCGGGCGGCCUCCACCUCGGACUUGGGUCGGUCCAGAACGUGCCGGCACCACUGCAGAGGAGUGAGGGAGUCGUCUCCGAGCUCCACGGCCUUCGACGACGCGUACAACCUGCAGGGAGGAACUCAGACAGUUAGAAUGUCUGAUUCUGAUUCUGCAGCCGCUUCGUGACCAGAUGAACGAGAGAGGAGGAAUGUUUGUACAAAACUUCCCAGUGAAGCUGCAGAGUUUCAUAUGAACUGUGGACGACACCAGCAAACAGAGCAUUAGAAUAAUCUAACCCAGAGGAAGACGACAUGAAUCUCUCUCAGGCUGGAGGGGAUGAGGAAGAGGAGCGGCUCUGCUCAGAUGAAGUGCAUCAGAUUAUUCUGACAGAACUCCUCCUCCUCCUCCUCUUCAUCCUCCUCCUGGUUUUUACUCUGCAGCAACAUGGAGCAGCUGAAUUAUAGAUGAAAACCUUCCCUGACAUCAGAGCUGGAGAGCCGACAGUAAACAAAGGGAAGACUGUUGCACGUAUAAUUGGCCCCUCUGUGUAAACUGUGGCCCCUUGAUGGCCCCUGACUCUGAACAAUCAUACAUCCCCCCCACCGGAUGUGUGUUUGCGGUGCAGAUGUGCAGCAGGAGCGUGCAGCACCACCCUCCUGCAGGAACAACAGGUUGGGGGUUCGAACACUCACCACGUCUCCUCCUCCUCCGGGCAGCACAGAACCUCCAGGUCCAGCAGCUCCAGCUCGUCCAGCACCGACGGCUCCGCUUCGUCCUCCCCCGGUUCUGAGGCUCCGUCCCCGGCUCCGUGCGGCUGGAAGUAUUCGAAAGGCUCCUCCGGGGGCGAGAGCGACCCGGCGGACGGGAGGCACCGCAGGGCGAGCAGCGGGCCGUGCAGGCGGAACGCCCCGGAGCUCCCGAGCCCGAAGCCCGGGGACGGGCCGCCGGAGCAGCCGCUCGCCCGCAGCUGCUCGUUCUGCAGCUCCAGCCUCCGGACCAGCUGCUGCAGCUUCCUCACCUCCAGCUCCGCCGGCAGACAGUUGCUGUUACAGUCCAGCUCCGGCAGCCCCGCGGCCGGCAGCACCUCCAUGAGCGGUGUGUCCGGGCUGCAGCCGCUUCUCCUCGGUGCGUAGCAGGUGAUCAGCGGCGGAGGAGUCAGGAAUGAUCCGCCGAGUCUGCACCGUCAGCCGGUGUAAACCCGCAGACUCCGCCCCCCCUGCACCGCACAUCACGCACACGUGUCCCAGCCCCGCACACUGAUCCCAGCUGCAGCUGAUGGAGGAAGAGAUCAACGAUCACAUCGAUGAUUCAGGAUCAAUCACAACAAUCAAUCACUGGUGUUGAUGAGCGAAGCAGCAGGUGACGCUCACCUGGGCUGUUUGUGCUGCUUUGGCGACACCUCGUGGCUAAAAGUGGUCAUUGCAACAAACAGUAAAUCUGUAUUUUUGCAGGUUUUGGAAAGUUCAUCACAAUUAAAUCACUUUUCAGACCUGGACUCAUGUUCUAAAACAAGAAGCAGUAUUCAAGUCUCAAUAACCAGCAGGAAAAACAUCAUCCAAGUUUCCAUCCCAGGAUUUAAACGAUAUGUUAUAAAAACUUCUCUGAAAUAAAGUUUAAACUGCGA
Molecule: long non-coding RNA, 2379 nt
Organism: Hippoglossus stenolepis (Pacific halibut)
Lineage: Eukaryota; Metazoa; Chordata; Actinopteri; Pleuronectiformes; Pleuronectidae
Exons: 3
Source: RefSeq, a predicted model, not a curated record